Molecule: unclassified non-coding RNA, 194 nt
Filed under: uncultured Inocybe
Lineage: Eukaryota; Fungi; Basidiomycota; Agaricomycetes; Agaricales; Cortinariaceae
Description: sequence contains ITS2
Source: RNAcentral
GACCUUCUCAACCACAUCGUUUGUGUUGUGUGGCUUGGAUGUGGGGGUUUGCAGGCUUUCAACCAAAAGCCGGCUCCCCUGAAAUGCAUUAGUGGUGUCUGGGCUGCUAUUGGUGUGAUUAAAUAUUAUAUCUAUGCCUUUGGUGAUGCUGGUCAGCACUGCUUACAAACGGAUGGUGAAUCAUCAUUUGACAA